Molecule: long non-coding RNA, 3569 nt
Filed under: Homo sapiens (human)
Lineage: Eukaryota; Metazoa; Chordata; Mammalia; Primates; Hominidae
Description: LHRI_LNC754.1
Source: RNAcentral
UUUAAAAAAAAAAAAAAAAAGGCCACUGGGAUAUUUAGUAUUUGUCCAGAUGCAAAACAAUUUCAGAAUAACAAAAUACACACCUUGCUUUAGGCCACGUAUAUGAUACACUUCAUAGAUUCUCAAACAAAAGAUGAAAAUUUCAGUCCACAUUAAACAUUUUAAAGCAUAACUUCUAAUAUUUUGUUAAAAAUAAGUCAAACUAAACGCAUAAAUCAGAAUUACCUGUUAACAUAGUGGGGAAAGUAGGGAAGCCCUCCAGGGGCCCCGUGCCCCAAGUAAAAGACAAGGAGUUAAAUUUUACAAUGAAAUCCACGUAUACUCAGGCUCUUUACACUAAUAAUCAAAGUGGAGACCAACCAGUUCCUAAAGCAUAAAAGAGUGAUUUUAAGAAAAUAUCACAUUUUGAGUUACGGUAUAUUCAUCACAUUUUUCCCUGUAAUUUUCACUUUAACAGUGAUAGUCUUAGCAGCAAAAAUUUGCUGGGAAUGUUAGGAAAAAAGGAAGCCACACAUACCUACUAAUUUAAAAAUAUAUAAACUAUUUUUUACAGAAGGGCAGGUUUAAAAGAAAAUCCAAUCAUGAUCUUUUCAUGCCAUUUUUUGUCAACUUUCCAUACACACGCAGACGCUAACAAAGUACUGUGUCAUAUACACUGAAGUGUCCUGAAGAUGCCUGUGAGCUGCUGAUUCCAGCUGGUACCAGGGAAGCAUGUGUGGCUAAGUUGCAACAAACUUAAAUUUGUUCCCCUUAGUUCUUCAUCUUUUUAAAAGCUGAAUAAACUUAAUGUCAAUCGGGUGGGGCCGGUAUUAACAGCAUCAACCGCUUGCUUACUAUGAAUCAUCCGCAACAGAAACCCACGUGCAUUCUCCAUUCUUAAAAAGUCAGUGUAAAACUAACGGCCACUUCCUCCCUAGGUGCCUACUAUCGCUAUGUCUGACAGCAUCUGUAACAGGACAAGCUCACCUCUCUCUACACGGAUUCAUCCAAAGCCACACACUAGGCCAAAUUCUCCCAGUGGAAUCAAAACACUGGAAGUAGAGCAAGAACCUCAUGCCAACAUUGGCCCAAUCACACCUCAGUGACUUAGGAGUUCAUCAUAUUUGAUCAUAAAAUUGCUCCCGGCGCCAAACCUUACACCUAAAGACUGUAGUUUUAAAAAGCCACUGUACCGUCCACAAUUAUUCUGACCACUCUUUUCUAAAUGGAGAAUGUGCUACGCACUGAAGAUCAGAACACACACGCGGGAGCCCUUGGGCACUGACCCUGAGCCUGUACACAAGAUCAGCUGGUACUAGUCUCAAAUGAUUCAUGAGGACUCAGUGGAAAUUUAAACAUUCAAUUCUGUGUAUCAUUCAUGUGCCCAGAGUCUUCAAAGAAUGCUCGUGUUAGUUACCUGACACCUCUGGAGAAGUGACAGGGAUAUUCGUGUGAAUAACCAUGGCUCCCUUCCAGACAGACAUAUGGAAUCUUACUCUUAAAAAAGUAAAGAUAUUUCAGAUAUCAAAUGUAUUAUAAUAUACUGCGGUCUAAAGUUAAAGGCAAAGUUUACACACGAUUUUCUCUUCCAUGACUUUAUUACAUGUUUCCUAGUGAAUUCACACGGCUCGUGUGUCAAAGCUCCCAGGCACGUCACUUGGUCACAGUUUUCAUGUGCGUGGGGUUGAUCAUGGUACAAAUGCCUAUGCGCAUCUUUUUCUCGGAUGGUCUCAUUUGACUUUCAUUUCGUAAGGGUUCACUCUCCAUGGUGUAGAUGAUAAGCUACCACAUUUGUGCUUUUAAACCCAUUCCUGGCAAUCCCCCUUUAUCUUCAUUUUGUCUUUAGGGGGAUAAAGAAGUAACACUACCUCAUGAAUAGAAACUAUGAAGCCAAAAAACUCCUUCACAAGCUGUUCAUUUCUUUUUAGAAUGAAAAUGCAGGUCCUGAAUUCUCGUGAAGCAGCCCACAGGGUUACAGGCCAAUGAUUCGAACGCUGAGGUGAACACUUAGUACUCGCAUUUGAGCUUCAAAGUAAAAAUAAAGCAGAGGACAAACGCCUGUCACAGCGUGGCAGCCCGGUUCAUUUGGUAACAGAACAAGUCUCACACGUCGGCUGAGCCCACCGGAGAGAAGCACACAGGCCAGCUUCCUUCUGAACACAGCCAGGCACCUGUUCAAAAGCCUCUCUCGUGGUGGCGGUGGACCCCAAAACCCACGGGUUGGAAGAGCCUUUGGGAAAGCAAAUUGAUACCCUGAUUGCAGUCCUUGAAGAAAUCACUUAGGGUUAGUUUAAUAAACGAACAUUAAAAAAUCUUCCAAAAAUUGCAUUCAAAUGUAUUUUACACUUUAGGCAGUUCUUAAGAAGGGAGAGUGCAGUUUCUUGACACUUAACAUUUAAAGGUUUUAUUGGCCACAUUAAUCUUCCUCACAAAAGUUUUAAGUUAUCUAUAAGUUCUUAGAAUGUCAAAGAAGAGAAGAAAAACUGACUAACUUUAAGGGGCGGUGGAAGCAGCAGCAACUUGGCAAUAAUUCUGCAGCCGACUUUGCGUGUUCAGGCAUCCUUUUUCUCCAGUAAAAUUUUGUGCAACUCGUCUGCAUCCUCGCUGGUUUUUACCCGAAUCAACAUGGUGACUGGCAUGGUGGCAUUCUUCUCGUCAAUUGGUGGAUUUGGAACACAGACGAUAAGAACGUUAUUCUUCCCUGUUCGCGUACAUGGCAUAUUGGGUGGAAUCAGAACGUUCAGCAAUAUGUUGCCUGCAUUCAAACAAACAAAACCCAUCAAAAUUAUAGAAGCUAUAGCUCCACCAAAGGAGUCUGUAAUAUGCUAAACAUUAAAUGCUGAAAUAACUUAAUACAUCUAAGACAGGGAGCCAACAGGACAGCACAAAAUCAGGACUGGUUCCCUGAGAACUGGGAGGCCUCGGGGAGCACUUGCCCUCACUGUGAGGAGUGGCCUUCCGUCCUCCCUCCAGCCCGGGUCUCUGCACCCACACAGCGUUUCUCUCAGAGCCAGCAGCCUCGCUCAGAACCGUCAGCCCUCUCAACACUGUCCGUCUUUGCACUGAAGGAAGAACACGGUGGCACAACCCAGUGUCUUCACUGCGCCACACGGACAAAGGACACCUCUGUCACAGGCCGGCACAGCUCCCUGGGCAAAAGUGACACGACCAUGUUAUUACUCCCUAGUCAAGCCCACGGGAAAGAAAAAUGCCUCCCUGGAGUUUCUGCAACACAGCCCCCUGUUCUCUACCACUACUGCCCGCUCCACCGCAGGCCUGCCCCGUCUUCCUCCUCCUCCGGGCACUAGGAUCCUUGCAGUGGACUCUUUUCAGGUUAAAACUGAGGAUGGACAGCAAGCAGUUAGUCAUUACUUGCUAUAUAAAAAGGAUUCCUUUAAAAGGUUAAUUUCCCUUGGGUGUUCAUUAAAUGGUCUAAUCUCUAGCUUCUUAGUCACAUUUCUAACACAAAGGAAAAUGAAAAAUCAUUUUGUUUACAGCUUCUAACACAUUUAUGUUUCCUUACACACUAUUAUCCUGGGACUCAAAACUAUAAAUAAGUAAAUACAGGAUGAAUUUGGCCUGAAUGCGCU